This is a long non-coding RNA of Hippocampus zosterae (dwarf seahorse), 238 nucleotides long. RefSeq lists it as uncharacterized. Lineage: Eukaryota; Metazoa; Chordata; Actinopteri; Syngnathiformes; Syngnathidae. The transcript has 3 exons. The record is from RefSeq and is a predicted model, not a curated record.
GGGAGAACAUGCAACCUCCACACAAGAAGGCCAAAGCCAGAAUCGAACCCUGCACCUCUGCACUAAAACGCCGCCCGGGGAAUGGAACUGGAACAACACCAACGGAUAACAGUCUCUGCUUUCUACGAAAAUCCUCUGGGGAAGAAUGUGAGAAACGUUUCCUGCGGUGAGUCAGAAUCAGGCCGUCAUGCACACGCUGUGAGAACUUAUCAACGGGCCGGCAGACAAUGAUCCAAUU